GUACACACCGCCCGUCGCUCCUACCGAUUGAGUGUGCUGGUGAAGUGUUCGGAUCGGCAAAGCUGGGGGCAACUCUUGCAUUGCCGAGAAGUUCAUUAAACCCUCCCACUUAGAGGAAGGAGAAGUCGUAACAAGGUUUCCGUAGGUGAACCUGCAGAAGGAUCA
Molecule: ribosomal RNA, 165 nt
Filed under: uncultured eukaryote
Lineage: Eukaryota
Description: partial small subunit ribosomal RNA
Rfam family: Eukaryotic small subunit ribosomal RNA
Source: RNAcentral